AAUAUGGCAAGUGAUAAGGCCGAGCUUCUUAUUCCUUCUUCCUGGAGAGAUCUCAAAAAUCAUGUCCCCCCUUUACAAGAACUCCUACUCUAUUUAUAGAGAGAGCAAAAAAUGAAUUAAUUUACAAUUCGGCCACCUCGGCUUGGAGCUGAGCCGAUUGUGUCACGUCAGAUCUGUUAGACAAUGGGUAGUCAGGGUUUGUCCACGUCCCCUGCUCAUGAUGACCCUCUUACAUUUUCCACUUAGGAGGCGAGCGUGGGCAGAGUAGCUUGUUGCAUACGGCGCAAUCCCAUAUGGUGACGAUUCAUGCGGUUUACACCUGGCUUUCGAGGGGACGUGGGCACGCUUCACGAGAUACAACGGGUUUGCGGUCAGAGGGGUCUUGUAAUCGACGUGACUGGCUUACAUCCCUUCGAUCUUCCAGCGAUAGCUCGGAGGCCGAGGCCUAUAUGUCGUGUUCUUAUUGGGCAGAUGGACUCG
Molecule: long non-coding RNA, 480 nt
Filed under: Prunus dulcis (almond)
Lineage: Eukaryota; Viridiplantae; Streptophyta; Magnoliopsida; Rosales; Rosaceae
Description: sRNA ncRNA
Source: RNAcentral